RNAcentral lists this ribosomal RNA (483 nucleotides) under uncultured bacterium. Its description in RNAcentral is "partial 16S ribosomal RNA". It matches the Rfam family "Bacterial small subunit ribosomal RNA", at positions 30 to 507 of the family's 1533-position model. The record is from RNAcentral.
UUGAACGCUGGCGGCAGGCCUAACACAUGCAAGUCGAGCGGAUGAAGGGAGCUUGCUCCUGGAUUCAGCGGCGGACGGGUGAGUAAUGCCUAGGAAUCUGCCUGGUAGUGGGGGAUAACGUCCGGAAACGGGCGCUAAUACCGCAUACGUCCUGAGGGAGAAAGUGGGGGAUCUUCGGACCUCACGCUAUCAGAUGAGCCUAGGUCGGAUUAGCUAGUGGGUGGGGUAAAGGCCUACCAAGGCGACGAUCCGUAACUGGUCUGAGAGGAUGAUCAGUCACACUGGAACUGAGACACGGUCCAGACUCCUACGGGAGGCAGCAGUGGGGAAUAUUGGACAAUGGGCGAAAGCCUGAUCCAGCCAUGCCGCGUGUGUGAAGAAGGUCUUCGGAUUGUAAAGCACUUUAAGUUGGGAGGAAGGGCAGUAAGUUAAUACCUUGCUGUUUUGACGUUACCAACAGAAUAAGCACCGGCUAACUUCGUG